AGCGAACGCUGGCGGCAGGCCUAACACAUGCAAGUCGAACGAACUCUUCGGAGUUAGUGGCGGACGGUUGAGUAACACUUGGGAACGUGCCUUUUGGUUCGGAAUCACUCAGGGAAACUUGUGCUAAUACCGAAUGUGCCCUUCGGGGGAAAGAUUUAUCGCCAUUAGAGCGGCCCGCGUCUGAUUAGCUAGUUGGUGAGGUAACGGCACCCCAAGGCGACGAUCAGUAGCUGGUCUGAGGGGAUGAACAGCCCCCCGGGGACUGAACCACGGCCCCGACUCCUAGGAGGGGCAGGAGGGGGGAAACUGGGGAAAUGGGCGAAAGCCUGAAGCACCCCUGCCGGGUGAAUGAUGAAGGGUUUAGGAUCGUAAAAUUUUUUCACCGGGGAGGAUAAUGCGUGUACCGGGAAAAGAACCCCAGGCUACUUCCGU
This 432-nucleotide ribosomal RNA is filed under the name uncultured bacterium. RNAcentral's name for it is "partial 16S ribosomal RNA". It matches the Rfam family "Bacterial small subunit ribosomal RNA", at positions 29 to 506 of the family's 1533-position model. The record is from RNAcentral.